Molecule: long non-coding RNA, 568 nt
Filed under: Mustela putorius furo (domestic ferret)
Lineage: Eukaryota; Metazoa; Chordata; Mammalia; Carnivora; Mustelidae
Description: lncRNA (ENSMPUG00000031787.1)
Source: RNAcentral
AACUUUAAUUUCUUCUCAGCGGCAGAUGCCAUUGUUCUGUGGCAGACAAAUGUCUUGAAACGAGUCUCUGGGUAGCCCUGUUCUCGAACGCAGGGGCACAUCAGCUUGGCGUUCCUUCUCAGGGGGGUGGGAACCUGAGCUGGACGACUCCAUUAGCACCAAGAGACAACCACAGAGCAUGGGCCGUCAGAAUUCCGAGGAAGACACGAACAACGGAGAAGGAUGAGUGGGAGAGGCAGCGCGAAGCAAGGAAGGAGAGACAGGAAGAAGGAAAAGGCACGAGGCUUGUUGAGGAAAGCUUUAUACAACAGCUGAGUCAGUUCUCCUCCUGGUCUGGCCCACAUCCUAACCCGGAGUCUCUCCUGCCCUACUGCUGGGCCCAGGAGGUCACAGUGGGGCUGAGAGUCCAGCUGCCUGCGCUGUUCUUCCCGCCCAUGGCCCCACAGAGGACAGAGUGAUCUUUCAAAGCACAAGCCUCCGCCGGCUGCUCUCCUGCUAAAAACUCUUCAGUGGCUUCCUCAUGUCCUCAGAAGGAGAGAGAAUUGAAAAAGUGAAAUCAGAGAAAAUC